This 72-nucleotide transfer RNA is filed under the name Marmota monax (woodchuck). It matches the Rfam family "tRNA". Rfam says of the family: Transfer RNA (tRNA) molecules are approximately 80 nucleotides in length. Their secondary structure includes four short double-helical elements and three loops (D, anti-codon, and T loops). The record is from Rfam by way of RNAcentral. Lineage: Eukaryota; Metazoa; Chordata; Mammalia; Rodentia; Sciuridae.
UGGGGUGUAGCUUAGUAGCAAAGUGCUUGCCUAGCAUGUGUGAGCCAUUGGGUUCAAUCCUCAGCACUUCAU